AGAGAGAGACAUGCGUGCAUAUCAAUAAGCGGAGGAAAAGAAACUAACAAGGAUUCCCCUAGUAACGGCGAGUGAAGCGGGAAGAGCUCAAAUUUGAAAUCUUAAAGGGUUUCCCUUUACGAAUUGUAGUUUAAAGAAGUGUUUUUCUGUUGAGGUUUUGGUAAAAGUUCUUUGGAAUAGGACAUCAUAGAGGGUGAGAAUCCCGUAUUUGACCUUUACUUUCAACUUUGUGAUACACUUUCAAAGAGUCGGAUUGUUUGGGAAUGCAGUCCAAAAUGGGUGGUAAAUUUCAUCCUAAAGCUAAAUAUUGGCGAGAGACCGAUAGCGAACAAGUACCGUGAGGGAAAGAUGAAAAGAACUUUGAAAAGAGAGUUAAACAGUACGUGAAAUUGUCAAAAGGGAAGCGUUUGACACCAGUGUUGUUUUUCUGAAAAUCAAUUAAAGAACUGUUUAUGCUAAGUUGUUUAGACUUUAUCAGCUAACUGUUUAGUUUUGAGCUUUUCUUUAAUGCACUUUUCAGUUAACAAGUCAACAUCAAUUUCUUUUGCUGUAAAAAAGCUUGAGGAAGGUGGCUUGAGAUUCGUCUUAAGUGUUUAUAGCCUCUUGCCUAUGCAGUCGGAGAGAUUGAGGUCUGCAGCGUAGAUCCUUCGGGGCUAAAUGCAUUUGUGCUAAGUUAUAGCAUUUUAUAGACAACUUGUUGACUAUGAUUUGUCUUGUAGCUUACUCGCUUAUGUUAUUUUACCUACGCUUAGGAUGUUGAGCGCAUGUCUCUCUCU
RNAcentral lists this ribosomal RNA (776 nucleotides) under uncultured Neocallimastigales. Its description in RNAcentral is "partial large subunit ribosomal RNA". It matches the Rfam family "Eukaryotic large subunit ribosomal RNA", at positions 23 to 616 of the family's 3401-position model. The record is from RNAcentral. Lineage: Eukaryota; Fungi; Neocallimastigomycota; Neocallimastigomycetes; Neocallimastigales.